Molecule: ribosomal RNA, 412 nt
Filed under: Braconinae sp.
Lineage: Eukaryota; Metazoa; Arthropoda; Insecta; Hymenoptera; Braconidae
Description: partial 16S ribosomal RNA
Source: RNAcentral
GUCUUUAAGAAAUUAAUUUAAAGUCUAAUCUGCCCAAUGAUUUAUUUUAAUGGCUGCAGAAUUUUAACUGUACAAAGGUAGCAUAAUAAUUUGUUUUUUAAUUAAAAACUAGCAUGAAAGAUUUAAUGAAAUAUAAACUGUUUCAAUUAAUUUUAUUUUAAAAUUUUUAUUUAAGUAAAAAAACUUAAAUUAUUUUUAAAGACGAUAAGACCCUAUAGAAUUUUAUUUAAUAUAUUUUAAUAUAAAAUUUAUUAAAUUUUAUUGGGAUAAUAAAAAAAUUAAAUUAAUUUUUUUUUAAUACAACAUUAAUUAAUGAAUUAAAUAUAUCUUAAUUUUUAAAUUAAAAAAAUUAAUUACCUUAGGGAUAACAGCAUAAUUUUUUUUAAAAGACCUUAUUAAUAAAAAAGAUUAU